Molecule: long non-coding RNA, 808 nt
Organism: Halichondria panicea
Lineage: Eukaryota; Metazoa; Porifera; Demospongiae; Suberitida; Halichondriidae
Exons: 2
Source: RefSeq, a predicted model, not a curated record
CAGAAAAAAAAUUAUAGUCGUGUUAACUAUAUAUAUACACUCUAAAAACAGCGGUGUGCACGUCACACCAAAUAUCUGGCACACCACACAAUUUGGUGUGACGUGCACACCUUUAGCAUGGUGUGCCAACUUUUAGGUGUGCAUGGCACACCAUGCUGUGAAUUAGGUGUGUCAUUUGGUGUGGUAACCUGAAAAUGGUGUGUCACUUUGGUGUGCUAACAAAACUGGUGUGCACCAACUGACGAAUGGUGUGCUGGAUUCACACCAUUAAAGAUGGUGUGUCAUAAUUGGUGUGCUGGAUUCACACCAGUAAAGAUGGUGUGUCAUAAUUGGUGUGCUGAAUUCACACCAUUAAAGAUGGUGUGUCAUAUAUUGGUGUGCUGGAUUCACACCUCUUUUGAUGGUGUGCUUUCUCUGAAAUGGUGUGUCAUAUCGGUGUGCUGGAUCCACCAUUAAAAAUGGUGUGCUGGAUUCUCUUUUUAUGAAUCAAGUACAACUGGAUACUCGUAGAGAUGAAGUCUUGGUGAUGAAUAAACACAAAACAAUAUACCCGUGAAGAAAACAGAAGUGAAGUCCUUGUGAUGAAGAAACAGAACAGGCAAUAUACUCCUGAAGAAAACAGAAAUGCAAAGUCCUUGUGAUGAAGAAACAGCAGAACUGAGAAACAGAACAAACAUGUAUGACAUUGUAGAAUAGUUUACUUUUAUUAUUCUUUUUGUACAAUUUUGGCCUGUUUUUGGCAGUGUGCAAUUCACACCAGUACUGAAAUAGCACACUAAUUUAGGUGUGACCCUCACACCGUUAAUAA